RNAcentral lists this ribosomal RNA (368 nucleotides) under uncultured organism. RNAcentral's name for it is "bacterial SSU rRNA". It matches the Rfam family "Bacterial small subunit ribosomal RNA", at positions 526 to 896 of the family's 1533-position model. The record is from RNAcentral.
CGGAGGGUGCAAGCGUUAUCCGGAUUCACUGGGUUUAAAGGGUGCGUAGGUGGGCAAGUAAGUCAGUGGUGAAAUCUCCGGGCUUAACCCGGAAACUGCCAUUGAUACUAUUUGUCUUGAAUGUCGUGGAGGUAAGCGGAAUAUGUCAUGUAGCGGUGAAAUGCUUAGAUAUGACAUAGAACACCGAUAGCGUAGGCAGCUUGCUACACGAAUAUUGACACUGAGGCACGAAAGCGUGGGGAUCAAACAGGAUUAGAUACCCUGGUAGUCCACGCCCUAAACGAUGGAUACUCGACAUCAGCGAUACACUGUUGGUGUCUGAGCGAAAGCAUUAAGUAUCCCACCUGGGAAGUACGACCGCAAGGUUG